This 253-nucleotide ribosomal RNA is filed under the name uncultured bacterium. RNAcentral's name for it is "partial 16S ribosomal RNA". It matches the Rfam family "Bacterial small subunit ribosomal RNA", at positions 524 to 776 of the family's 1533-position model. The record is from RNAcentral.
UACGGAGGGAGCUAGCGUUGUUCGGAAUUACUGGGCGUAAAGCGCACGUAGGCGGCUUUUUAAGUCAGGGGUGAAAUCCCGGGGCUCAGCCCCGGAACUGCCUUUGAAACUGGGAAGCUAGAAUCCUGGAGAGGCGAGUGGAAUUCCGAGUGUAGAGGUGAGAUUCGUAGAUAUUCGGAAGAACACCAGUGGCGAAGGCGACUCGCUGGACAGGUAUUGACGCUGAGGCGCGAAAGCGUGGGGAGCAAACAGG